Molecule: long non-coding RNA, 993 nt
Organism: Oreochromis niloticus (Nile tilapia)
Lineage: Eukaryota; Metazoa; Chordata; Actinopteri; Cichliformes; Cichlidae
Exons: 3
Source: RefSeq, a predicted model, not a curated record
UAACCUCUGUGCUGCCCUGGUGUGAGUAACCGUCUCCCAGAAAUUUGAACAAGUUCAAUUACUUUCUUUUCAAGCUGCUUACACUACAUUGACUUAUGUUUUUACACAAUCUCAGAAGAGGAGAACCACUGAGGGAACGCCUUCCGCCCACCGACGCCUCCACCGUGACCUCCACUUCUGAGAGGAAUUGCCUACAGAUCAAGUACGGAGUGUGCCUGAAUGGACAUACAGAACUCCAAGGUUCGGCCCUGCGUUGAGGGUUUUCCCAAAGGGGAGGGCCCGGCGGGCGGUGCCUCACAGCCCUCCGCCUGUGGGAGUGGCCCUUUCUACUAAGGAAGCAAGUUCUGCAUGUCCUGGUGACCCUCCACCUGUUUCAUAGGUCGUUGGACUGUGGCAGGAAGCCGGAGUACAAGGAGAGAACCCACGCAAAACCGGGGAGAACAUGCCAACUCCACACAGAACGAUGGUAGAGCUGAACUCAGGACCUUCUUCCGGUUGGGUAACGGUGCUAACCUCUGUGCUGCCCUGGUGUGAGUAACCGUCUCCCAGAAAUUUGAACAAGUUCAAUUACUUUCUUUUCAAGCUGCUUACACUACAUUGACUUAUGUUUUUACACAAUCUCAGAAGAGGAGAACCACUGAGGGAACGCCUUCCGCCCACCGACGCCUCCACCGUGACCUCCACUUCUGAGAGGAAUUGCCUACAGAUCAAGUACGGAGUGUGCCUGAAUGGACAUACAGAACUCCAAGGUUCGGCCCUGCGUUGAGGGUUUUCCCAAAGGGGAGGGCCCGGCGGGCGGUGCCUCACAGCCCUCCGCCUGUGGGAGUGGCCCUUUCUACUAAGGAAGCAAGUUCUGCAUGUCCUGGUGACCCUCCACCUGUUUCAUAGGUCGUUGGACUGUGGCAGGAAGCCGGAGUACAAGGAGAGAACCCACGCAAAACCGGGGAGAACAUGCCAACUCCACACAGAACGAUGGUAGAGCUGAACUCAGGA